Molecule: ribosomal RNA, 341 nt
Filed under: uncultured Glomeromycotina
Lineage: Eukaryota; Fungi; Glomeromycota
Description: eukaryotic LSU rRNA
Source: RNAcentral
AUCAGCCUUUCGGGUGCGAUUCUGUGGAGUUUGAGGAGCUUAACACCUUCAUGCUUUGCAUAUUCGUGCUCUUGGGUGUACUUGCCCGUGUGGUUGGUUAACAUCAAUUUCGGGCACCAUAAAAUGGCUGGAGGAAUGUAGCUUCGAUCUUGUAUUGAAGUGUUAUAGCCUUCGGUAGAUGUGGUGAUCGAGAUUGAGGAUUGCAACGGAUACCUUUCGGGGCUACCUGUCUGAUCUCUGAUCGUUGCUUUGGUGCUGAAAGCGUGCUUAUAGUUAUCAAAGUCGAUGGUCAAUAGGUUAGAACGGGUUAAAUUCGUUAAGGAUGUUGACGUAAUGGCUUU